RNAcentral lists this ribosomal RNA (1437 nucleotides) under uncultured organism. RNAcentral describes it as "16S ribosomal RNA". It matches the Rfam family "Bacterial small subunit ribosomal RNA". The record is from RNAcentral.
CAGGCUUAACACAUGCAAGUCGAGGGGCAUCAGGAAGAAAGCUUGCUUUCUUUGCUGGCGACCGGCGCACGGGUGAGUAACACGUAUCCAACCUGCCCUUUACUCGGGGAUAGCCUUUCGAAAGAAAGAUUAAUACCCGAUAGCAUAAUGAUUCCGCAUGGUUUCAUUAUUAAAGGAUUCCGGUAAAGGAUGGGGAUGCGUUCCAUUAGGUUGUUGGUGAGGUAACGGCCCACCAAGCCUUCGAUGGAUAGGGGUUCUGAGAGGAAGGUCCCCCACAUUGGAACUGAGACACGGUCCAAACUCCUACGGGAGGCAGCAGUGAGGAAUAUUGGUCAAUGGGCGCUAGCCUGAACCAGCCAAGUAGCGUGAAGGAUGAAGGCUCUAUGGGUCGUAAACUUCUUUUAUAUAAGAAUAAAGUGCAGUAUGUAUACUGUUUUGUAUGUAUUAUAUGAAUAAGGAUCGGCUAACUCCGUGCCAGCAGCCGCGGUAAUACGGAGGAUCCGAGCGUUAUCCGGAUUUAUUGGGUUUAAAGGGAGCGUAGGUGGACUGGUAAGUCAGUUGUGAAAGUUUGCGGCUCAACCGUAAAAUUGCAGUUGGUACUGUCAGUCUUGAGUACAGUAGAGGUGGGCGGAAUUCGUGGUGUAGCGGUGAAAUGCUUAGAUAUCACGAAGAACUCCGAUUGCGAAGGCAGCUCACUGGACUGCAACUGACACUGAUGCUCGAAAGUGUGGGUAUCAAACAGGAUUAGAUACCCUGGUAGUCCACACAGUAAACGAUUAAUACUCGCUGUUUGCGAUAUACAGUAAGCGGCCAAGCGGAAGCAUUAAGUAUUCCACCUGGGGAGUACGCCGGCAACGGUGAAACUCAAAGGAAUUGACGGGGGCCCGCACAAGCGGAGGAACAUGUGGUUUAAUUCGAUGAUACGCGAGGAACCUUACCCGGGCUUAAAUUGCAGUGGAAUGAUGUGGAAACAUGUCAGUGAGCAAUCACCGCUGUGAAGGUGCUGCAUGGUUGUCGUCAGCUCGUGCCGUGAGGUGUCGGCUUAAGUGCCAUAACGAGCGCAACCCUUAUCUUUAGUUACUAACAGGUUAUGCUGAGGACUCUAGAGAGACUGCCGUCGUAAGAUGUGAGGAAGGUGGGGAUGACGUCAAAUCAGCACGGCCCUUACGUCCGGGGCUACACACGUGUUACAAUGGGGGGUACAGAAGGCAGCUAGCGGGUGACCGUAUGCUAAUCCCAAAAUCCUCUCUCAGUUCGGAUCGAAGUCUGCAACCCGACUUCGUGAAGCUGGAUUCGCUAGUAAUCGCGCAUCAGCCACGGCGCGGUGAAUACGUUCCCGGGCCUUGUACACACCGCCCGUCAAGCCAUGGGAGCCGGGGGUACCUGAAGUACGUAACCGCAAGGAUCGUCCUAGGGUAAAACUGGUGACUGGGGCUA